RNAcentral lists this non-coding RNA (21 nucleotides) under Caenorhabditis elegans. Lineage: Eukaryota; Metazoa; Nematoda; Chromadorea; Rhabditida; Rhabditidae. The record is from RNAcentral.
UAUCGAAUCAAUUCAAAUUUC